Molecule: long non-coding RNA, 19199 nt
Filed under: Prunus persica (peach)
Lineage: Eukaryota; Viridiplantae; Streptophyta; Magnoliopsida; Rosales; Rosaceae
Description: long non-coding RNA (PPER_LNC004024)
Source: RNAcentral
GGUCUUUCCUCCCCUUUUAAACUGACACAUCUUUUUGCGAGAUUCGCUACAUUUUUUAGGGUCUCAAUAUUUCCUUCACUGAAUAGGGUAUCGUCCCAAAUUCGGUUCAAGCCAUCUUCCUCCAUUGAACAAACAAAGAAGCUUGCCAGGUUUCUCUCUGACUCUGGCAUGGCAAAAGAAAACGCUAAUUUGCUUGUUAGUAGCUCCAUCAGGACAACUCCAAAACUAUAGACAUCACUCUUUUGUGUUAGUCGGUUUGAAUGGAGGUAUUCAGGAUCUAAGUAUCCGCGUGUCCCUUGCACUAGAGUUGUUUCUUGAGUUUGAUCCAUAGGAACUAAGCGCGAAGCACCAAAAUCCGACACUUUUGCCGUGUAAUUGUCAUCUAACAGUAUAUUCAUUGAUUUCACAUCUCGAUGUAUGAUUGGUGUAGAAGUAGAGGAGUGUAAGUAUGCUAAAGCUCCUGCAGUUUCUGCGGCAAUCUUCAAUCUUAAUUCCCAUGAAAGUGAUAACCCUUCGCUCUUUUUACCAUGAAUGUGAUGAAAAAGAGUGUCAUUGGUGAUGUAUUCAUAAACUAGUAAAGGCACCGGUGUCUCUAAACAGCAACCUAGAAGCCUCACUACAUUUCUAUGAUUGAUUUGAGAAAGAACAAUCACCUCAUUUACAAACUGCUCUUUCUGAGCUGGAACGCCAACUUUUGACUUCUUUAUGGCAACCACUUUGUUAUCUGCAAAUAUUCCUUUGUAAACUAUUCCAUAACCCCCUUCACCAACAACUCUACUUUCAUGGUAAUUGUCUGUGGCCUUUUCAAGUGCUUCUGCUGCAAAAAUUUUGGUUGUCUCCAUGGAACUUCCUUGACUAGCAAGUUGUUGUUGUAACAAUAAGCCACCAUUUUCUUUAAAGUAUUUUUCUUUGAGUUUCAUGAGCCUUCUUCUAUGCAUUCCCCAAUAUAUCCAUGAAAUUCCAAUUAGUAAAACCAAGAGGCUUGCACUAGUGACACCUGCACAUAAUUGAAAAUUGUCGUAAGUGUUUAUGCAGGUCUAGUCAUAAAAAUAAAAUUAGAUAAAAAGAGUGAAAAGUAUUAAAUUAUGGAUGUUGUUUUUGUUGUCUACCUUGUGCUUUACUUUCUAGGAUAAAAUGCUUCUGAGAAAGUAAUAUGUUAAGACGAAAUAAGAUUACAUGUAUGACAAUGAAGGAUAUUUAUUCAGUUUAAUUUGGGUCUUGUUAGUGAGAUUAAUCAAUGUUUAGAAUUGAGAAGGGGGAAACUUUUGGAUAUAUUCUCAUACGGGUGGAUGUUGACAUGUACAUAAAAACAUACCCAAUGAAAUAACAGCCAGGAGAAUGAUCUUCCAUCGAUUGCUGGGAUUAUGUUUUUUUUGGUCUGAGCUGGGAUUGUGUUUGAUGCAACUCUUUUGAUUCAUGCCGUCGUUUUUGUACCCUUCGGGACAUUUACAAGAAUAAUCUCCAGGUAAAUUUAUGCACGUUCCAAUACUGCAAGGGUUUGACUCCUUGCACUCAUCAAUAUCUGAAUAGUAAGGAAAACCAAAUUUAUCACAAUUAACAUCAUGCAAAAUUCCAAUAUUCUUUAGCUUUCCUGUAAAAACAACUAACACACACAUUCACAUGUUAUUAUAAGAGUAUAAUUAUUCUCUUGUCUAAUUUAUAUUGCCGGACAACUGUGAAUUUAGGUCACAUAUUCGGGCAUGAGCCUUAUCAAUGGUUCAUAUUCAUAGUUUAACAAAGGGUUUGAACAGAGUCAGGCAAGUGAACACUAUUAAUUCAUUAGACACAUAUCUAUAUAUAUUUUGUGUGUGUGUGUGUGUAGGCUAUAGAGCUUACCUUGGCAACUAUCUAGGAGGUACGGGUUCCCUCGAUAACCUGACGAGCACUGGCAGAUGUAAGCAGGCGGACCACCGAUGGUCGUCCGUUCGACACACUUGGCAUUUUCCUUGCAUGGAAAGUUGUGGUUCUGUUGAGCUGCAUGACAUGACUCACCCUCAACUGCCCAAUUCAGAACGGCUGGAAGCUGCCUUGAGUUGUUGAGUUCUUGAAAAGUUGUGUUGGGGUUGAAUGAGAAGUUGCCUUGUUCCACAAUGAAGGCAUAGCUGCAAGGGUACUUAGCGUACCACGGAUUAUCAAUCCCCGUUCGAUUGCCGACAGUCAGGCUUUGAAGAAAAGUGGAUAUGUUUCGCAGUCCACCAGGGAUGGAAGCUUGGGAACAGCCAAUUCCAGAGCAAGAGUCUGGAAGUGCGUCGCCAAGAAUAUCAUCACACAUGGUGACGCUGUUGCCGACUUCGAACUUUUCUUUCUUUGGGCCUCCAUCCCCUGAGCGCUCACCUAAAAAGGUUCCUAUAGUGUCACAGCCUACUGUGGUGAAAUUGUUUCGUGUAUGGGACAUGCAGUAAGGAGGAGGCAGCUCUAGCGAAGUAAAGAUGUCCACUGUUUCCUCACCCGAAUCAUCAUAACAAUCCAUGGCUACAUCUAGCAUUAUUUGCAACUCGCCAUCAGCCACAGAAAAGUUGGUAAUCCUGUUCAUACCGCCCAUCCAGUAGGCUGACGGCGGUUGGGUGGAUUGAUCACAAGUGAUGUUGAAUUCUGGUCGGAGGUAACAGGCUUCACCCAUGCCAAAUGGAUACGGAAUUGUGAGGUUACCACAGUGGUAAGGGCAGUUAGGGUGGGCUGAUUGAGGUCCUUCUGUUAUUGCAGCUGCUUGUGCAAUUAGCAAUGAGAGUGGCAUAAGCACCCCAAGUAAGCAGUAGUGGAAGGCCAUUUUGUGUAACGUGUAUUAUAUUGUUUGGGAUACUUGGGAGUGAAGUAGGUGGUAACUAGGAGCCUCAACUAUCUUUCGCCUUUAUAGGCGAACUAGUCGUAAUGAAGAGACUUGACAAAUGAGAAAAUUUGAAGUGUAAUGGGUAAUACAAUCGGUGAUAGGUAAGCUUUUCUACUGUUCGUUAAUGUUUCUUGUUUCUGGCCUUGCUGAGUCUAAAACCACGGUGGGACUGGAGGGACCUCAGGUUUUUGUCUAUUAUUUGGGACCUAAAUAAUUGCAUGGUAAUUAAUGGUCAUUGCGUGCAAAUGAGACUAAAUCCGUAUGUCCUUUGUUUAAGCACUACGACAUACAUGAUAGUCCCACCAUUUACAGCGAUACCAGCGAUGGUCAUUGCGUGCAAAUGAGACUAAAUCCGUAUGUCCUUUGUUUAAGCACUACGACAUACAUGAUAGUCCCACCAUUUACAGCGAUACCAGCGAUGCGCCAGUGCCUGGGGGGGGGGGGGGAAUAGUAGUUUGUAAUGUCAAUGGGUGGAAACACCACAAGCCUUUUGCGAGAAUACCCCUAUUCACAUAAAUAGUAAUAGCCCUUGCCUUCCUUUACCCUUUGCCAUGGUAAAUAGGUUGAAGUGUUGUACAUGCCCAAACCGUGUCAUUGUUGAAAUUGGCAACAAAUUGUGGACUUCAGCAGCAGCCGUUGUUGACUUUGUUGGCUCAAAUUGCACCCAUACAAGUGUGUCGGUGGUUUCUUUCAUGAUGCUGCACACUUGGUAUAAAAAGAAAGUGUUUUUGCAUUAUUUUAUGAGAAAUGCUAACAACCUUCUCUCUAACCUGCCUUUUUGGAUUUUCUCUUUUCUCUUUAUGAUAAGUGUUAUUUUUCUUACACUUAAAACAAUGUCAAUAAUACAUCUCAUAAUUUCGUUUUUGUUUUCCAAGUUUACCCUUUAAAAAUGUAUUGGCUUUUAUAUUUCCUUCAAUUUAUUCAAAUUUUGUUAUAACUUCUUUAUCACUUUGUUAAAAAAUAAAUAAUUAAAAAAACAUAAUAAAAACGUCAUAUUUAAAAUAAAAAAAAUAAAGUUUAUUUUAUGACAUUGUUAUCAUCUUUAUUUUGUUUUUAAUAAAACACGCGUUCUCUUUGGAAAAAUUAAUAAUUAAAAAAAACUUCAGUUUUUAUUUUCUCAUUUAAUUUUUAACAAGGUAGUAAGAAAGUUAUAAAAAAAAUUAGCUUGUUAUUAAAAAAAAAAUUAAUACAUUUAAUAAGGGUAAACUUGGAAAAUAAAAACUAGUUUGUGUGAUGCAUUAAUGACAUUAUUUUUAGUGUAAGGCAAAUGACACUUAUCAUGAGAAGAAUGGAGAAGUCCAAAAGAAAAAGUUAGAGAGAAUAUUGCUAGCACUCCCCUUAUUUUAUUUGGUGGAGGGAAGAAACAUUUGAAAGAAGAAAUAAUGGUUCUUUUGUCCAAAAGGAGGAAAAAAAAGCCAUGUGAAGCAGCUGGAAAGGAGGAAAACGCGGGCUACUGAUUUCACUUCCUCCACGGUAAGCAAGAGAGAGCACGGGUCCUUUUCCCCAAGUCCUUCAACAGACUUUGAGAGCUUUCCACACGGAGAGAAACACUAGAGAGCAUCAAUUUUUUAUUAUUAUUUUAAUUAGCUGCUGACUGACAUCAGCAUUAUAUCACUUACCCAGGCAGCCGUACAGGCUGUAUUUGCUUGCCUCACACGCCUUGAGAGCUUUCCACACGGAGAGAAAUACUAGAGAGCAUCAAUUUUUUUAUUAUUUUAAUUGACUGUUGACAUAAUCCACGUCCUUUUUGCUUUGAAGUUCAGAACUUGGGCUGUUGUUUCCUCAAGUCUUUCAACAGGUUUGAGAGCUUUCCACACGAAGAGAAACACUAGAGAGCAUCAAAUUUUUAUUUAUUUAUAAAGAAAUUGGCUGUUAAUGUCAUAAUAAUAAUGACAUCAGCAUUACAUCACUUGCUCAGACAGCAACACGAGCUGAAUUUGCAUGUGGAUUUGCCCUGGUUGGUGGGCCAUAGGCCUUGCCCGCUGGAACAGUCACGUGGGCCUAGGCCCUCUCCUACUCGGGCUUCCCCUUGCCGCUGGAAGUGCUCUAAACUCCCUUUUGGCUACACGAGAUUGAAAGGACCCGUCCCGAAUUUUCUCAAAACCCGAGGCGAACCUUUUGGAAUUCCUGACAUCACCCCGAUGCCAGAUCCAAUUACUAAAGACCGAGACUUUCUGCCGAAAUUUCGGCAGAGUCUCCCCUAUAAAUUGGACAUUUCCCAAAAUUUAUACCUGCAUAAAAACGCAUUUAAUAUUCCCAACUGGCAGCAUGCACAAUAUAAUUUCAUGCAAUUCACACAAAUGGCCUUCGACCUUCCAAUAAUUCUUAACCAACUACCAAACAUGCUAACAAAACAAUUCAUGCCUUAAACAAGGCAAACAAUUCAAAUCUAAAUUAUGACUAACAUUUAGUCUGCGGCUGCGCCUAAUAACCUUAGGCUGCCUACGUACCCUCCUUGAGGGAUCAAGCCACACGUAGUUCUUCCAUAAAACCCAAUUCUACAUUUGGGCGAUACCUUAUUUCAUUUCUCUGUAUUUCACAUAAUCUCCCCAUAUGCCGGUACAACCAACGCCACGUAUAGGGCCUGUCAACACGCCGGAUAACCUACGUCACGUGCGACCAUGCCAUACUAUUAUAAUAUCUCCCCAUACGCCGGUACAACCAACGCCACGUUUGGGGUCUGUCCCAAUUCCGGAUAACCUACGCCACGCGAGACCUGCACAUUAUAUCACAUAACUCCCCAUACGCCGGUACAACCAACGCCACGUAUGGGGCCUGUCCCAACGCCGGAUAACCUACGCCACGCGGGACCUCAAUAUCAUAUCACAAAUCUCCUCAUACGCCGGUACAACCAACGCCACGUAUGGGGUCUGUCGACACGCCGAAUAACCUACGCCACGCGGGACCUCAAUAUCAUAUCACAAAUCUCCUCAUACGCCGGUACAACCAACGCCACGUAUGGGGUCUGUCGACACGCCGAAUAACCUACGCCACGUGCAACCUCAACACAAUAUCACAAUAGCUCCCCAUACGCCGGUACAACCAACGCCACGUAUGGGGCCUGUCUCAACGCCGGAUAACCUACGCCACGUGAGACCUGAACAUCAUAUUACGAAUCUCCCCAUACACCGGUACAACCAACGCCACGUAUGGGGUCUGUCCCAACGCCGGAUAACCUAUGCCACGUGGGACCUAACUUUCACUUGGUGGUGCAUGUAGUGAAUCCAACAUCCGGGAAGGUACCUAAAGUAGUGCGUAUCGCACUCCAAACUGACAUUCUAAACUCUGUUGUACCCUUGUACAACCAUAUAUAAUUAUAAUUAUAUAAAUUAAUUCUAAUAUUGUGUAACCCUCCACAAUCAUCUAGCAUCCAAUAAUCCCCCCUAGAAAGGUGAGAUUACUCCGGGAGACUCACGGUCAACCAAGGGUCAAACUACUCUAACCCUGGUCAACCGGACCUGCAGAACCCACGACUUCCAAUUUCGGAUCCGAAAGUCCCUAUGGGUUCUACCAGGUAUAGGACACAUGUCCUGCAAGUUUGGUUCAGAUCAGACGGUCGGAUUUCUCACGAUCGCAUGAUCUGACGGUUAAUAUAAAAUAUAAACUUUAAAUUAUUAUUCGGAACAUCCGGGGCUCCGAUUCACGAUCCGUGAAUUCCUACACGAUCCUAGAAUUACCUAGAUUAACAUAUAAUAAAUUUGGGACCAUCCGACGGUCCCAACCUAUCGAACCCGGAUAACGCAUACUAUGCGAUUAUCCGUUCGAUAGUCAAACGACGUCCGAAUUGAGAUCCGCGAAAUUUUACACACUCGUGACAACCUAAGGAUCUCAUUGGAACACAUCGCUACUUUUUCUACAGUGCCCACGUGCCGCCGCACGCACCGGCAGCGCGUGGGUGCCCAAAGCGAUAACGCUUCGCCGGAAAAUCUCAAAACCACGGCUCCAAACUCCUACCCUAGGUAUAACACCCUAUUUGGAGCCACUUUUGUUCUUGGACCUACCCCAAACAGUGGCCGGAAAUGGCCGAUCACGGCGGCCGAAGUUCGGCCGAUUUUCAAUUCGAAAAUCGAGUGAUCUAGAGAUCGAAUCGAUCAAAACCCAACCAACAGGCAGCUAGAACAGCUCGAGAGGUUCAAGAUCCAUACCUGGGUUGACGGAAAUGGUGGCCGGAGGAGGGAGAUCGACGGCGUUAAAGUUCCGGCGACAUCCGGGCGAAAAUCGCCAUUUUCCGGCGGCUGGAGCGGCUGCCGAUGGCGGGGAUGGGCUGGGUCGUGACGCCGAGGUCGAGCUGGUUCUUUUGACACCGGCCCCGUCCGCAGCCGCGGCCGGUGGCCGGAGUUACGAAGAGAGAGAGAGGAGAGGCCGACGGGAGAGAGAGAGAAGUCGUGGGAGAGAGAGAGAGAGAGAGAGAGAGAGAGAGAGAGAGAAACCAGAUUUUAUAAAAAAAAAAUCUCAUUUCGAAAUAUUUACGAUUAUGCCGCUGGGCUUGUUUUGAACAUAUCUCUCUCGUUACAACUCCGAUUCGAGCCCACUACGUGUCUAUGAACUCGUCUCAGUACGACCUAUCCAAAAAUACAAGUCGCGGUCCCAAACUCUCUCCGGUUAAAAAUAUGACUAAAAUACCCUUAAAUAAUUAAAUAAUUAAAUAAGGGUUAAAUUUGGGGUCGGGUUGAGGAAGAUUAACUCAUUUCAAAGGUUGAAUCUUCUCAUUCGUUCCUUGUAUUUGUGGGAGGUUUAUUCCUCUGUUUGUUGGCAAGAACUUGUUUGUGUUCUUGGCUAUUGUGUGUGAUAGGUUAUUGAGUGACUUGGGUGUAUUUGGGAUUUGGGCUGAGUUAAACUCUGUAAUUGCUAGGAUAGGUGAGAGGGUUAAUCUCAUUUGGUUGUAAUCUCCUAACAUCAACUAUGUAGCAAAUCACAUAUCCCCCAAGUUUCUAUAAAAAUUACUCAAACACAAAGGUAUCUCCUAGCAACUAGCUAAUGUUCCUUCAAAUCUCUAUAGUUAAUGUUAAUUUUCCUUCAAGCUUUUACAAUUGAUACAAAGAGAAAACCUUAAUUUGAAUAGGAUAUAUCUGGUAGAAUGUCACACCCGGAAGAAGUUUUCAUAUAGAUAAAAAUCAACAAGUCAAUCAAGUAAUGACAUGAUUAACAUCUCAAUUUGCAUUCUGCCAUACCUGCUAGUUGUACCAGUAGUAAUUGUGGUACAAGGACCACAAUCACCUCUAAAGUCAUCAUCGGAAGUGUUUGAAGGUGACCCCAGAGAAAGGGAAGUCUGAUCUUCGGGACCCAAAUCGUCAUCAGCAUUAGUUCCCCAUGGAUGAUUUGCCAUAAUUCUCAUUCCCUCAAGCUCUGUAGCUACCUCUCUCAUUGUAGGCCUUUCCUCCCCUUUUAACUUUAGACACAUUUUUGCGAGACGGGCCACAUUUCUUACUGUCUCAAUAUUUCCUUCACUGACUAUGUCACCAUCAAGAAUAUGAUUUAGGCGCUCUUCUUCUACUGCACAAACAAACAUUCUUGCUAGGCUUCUCUCUGACUCAGGCCUAUCGUACGAAAAUGCCACUUUGCUUGUCAAUAGUUCUGCUAGCACAACUCCAAAGCUAUAAACAUCACUCUUUUCUGUUAGUUGGUUCGAUUGGAGAUAUGCAGGGUCUAAGUAUCCAAGUGUUCCCUCCACGAAAGUUACAAUUUCAGUUUGAUCUAGGGGAAUCAAUACUGAAGCUCCAAAGUCUGACAUUUUCGCCGUGUAAUUUUCAUCUAAAAGUAUAUUCAUGGCUUUAAAUCUCGGUGUAUGAUUUGCAUAUGAAAGUGGAGGAGUGUAAAUAUGCCAGCGCUCCUGCAGUUUCUGCAGCAAUCUUCAGGAAAAUUCUGUGGUGCCUCAGCUGUAUCGGUACAGCCAGUUAUCCAAGGGUCAGUAUUGCAUCUUAAAAAUAAAGGGCUGAGAUUGAAUGACCUGAAGACUUGUUGAGCCCUUUGUUAUUAAAUAUCACGUGACAUACACGUGACUGAGAAAACAAGUGAAAAGCUUCAACGAACGUGCGGAAGCCCUGGCGUGCAUUGGACCUGCUUAUCUCUGCGAUCGAUCUCUCUCUCUUGGAAAUCCAAUCCUCAUCUAUGUCCCCAAAUCAGAAUCUGGGCGUCUCACUUCUGCCGACGCUGAGAUGCAACAGUCAUCGGACAUCGCGUGCACUGGGAGCUGCUUCAUCUUUGCAAUAUAUCUCUCUUUCUCUCUCUCUCAAAUCCAAUCCUCAUCUUUGUCCCCAAGUUGGAAUCUGAUGCAUCUCCUCUCUGCCGACACUGCGAUGCAAGAACCAUCGGAGAGGAGACAGAGUGGGGUGAUUCAGUCGAGUUCGAUGGGGGUGGUGUGAAAGGCCUUUAUUUGGGUAGAAAUUCAACGACUUAGUAUUGAAUCUGGAGUGAGGAUGUCUGUGUUGCAGAGCCUUUGAUGGGAGAAAAAAUUCAACGCCUUGGAUUGAAUCUUGGUGAUUUUUUUUCCCUCUUUUAAUAAUUUUUAAUAUUUUAAUAUUUUAAUAUUUUCUCUUAAUUUCAUCACAGCAUCAGACCCACUGUGAUCCUUUCUCCAUCAAACCCAUGUAAUUUUCGUUUUAUGGAGGAUUUGUUUUCUUCCAUGUAUGAGGUUAUGGAUUUGUGCUUCAAAAUAAGGUAUGAAAUUUUGAACAAUCAGGUUGUUGAUUUUCUUUAAAGUCUUGGAUUCUUGAAUUUUCUUCCUACUUUUUUUUUUUUUUUUUUUUCAAUUUGAGAUUUGUUUUAUUACUCAAGAACUCUGGUCAUGAUGAAUCCAAUUGGAGUUUUCGGGCUUGUUAGUGGAGAACUGAGGUUGGCAUCAAAAGAGAAAGAUGAGUUCUUUAACUAAGAAACCUCAUAACUGGUUUUGGUUUUGGCUAUAUUAUUUCUUAUGUGCAAUUGCAUAUAGUUUUUGUGCAAUUGCAUACAGUUUAUGCAAUUUUUGACCCCCUGUAUGCAAUUAGCGACAGUGUGAUGUUUAAAGAAACGUUUGACUUGAAUGCUAUGUCAUUGAGUUAUUUACCCAUUAACAAUCUAGUAACAAUUGAGGUUUCGUUCGUUGAGUAUGUUGCGUUCAUUUGAUAAAUUUAAAUGUUGGUAUGUUCGGUAAGAAAAAAUAAGAGUUCACGAGAAAGAAGAAGACAUGAUAUAUAUAUAUAUAUAUAAUUUUUUUUUUAGGUGAAGUGUCUUGGGUUGCCAUUACCAUUUCAAAGAUGGUAUUGCUAAAUCUGUAAGUGUAUGGUUUAAAUGUGAUGUUCAUGAUUGAUAUUGGUUGUUGUGAUUGCCGUAAUUGCUAUAUAUUGGUUGCUCUGGCUAAGGAGUCAGGAAAAGAGCAGUUAAGACAAGUGCAUUUUUGUUACACUGAAAUAUGUGUUUUGAGAUACCAUCACAGUGUUUGAAUAAUCUCUCUCUACCUCCCUCUCAUUUGCAGAAAGGGGUAUGCUCACUUGGACUUUUCAUGCAUACUUGGUGAGAUUCUCACCUUCUUCUGAGAGCCUAAUAUUUAGGGGCUAACAUUUGUGUACUCUACAAGUUAUAAAUUGAGCUAAACGUAUUACAAAAUAUUUUAGGUGAAGUGUUUUCUUUGUUUAUGUUUCUUUUUUGAGAUCUUAUUUCUUAUUUAUGUGACAUGUAGUCUUGGUUAGAGAAAAUAGAUGAUAUCACAUAUAAUUUUCUAUAGCUUUUAGGUAGUAGUAGAUUAUCCGUAUUGUCAUGCAAAUGAACACACACACAAAAGAGGCCCUCUAGCCAAAAAGAGGAAAUUUGGUGAUCUUUGCAUACGUUAUAAGAGUGUGAGCCAAUGAGCCUUCUAGUAAAAACGAAAGAAGUUAAAAACCAAAAAAAGGGCGGAAGGCAAUUGCAUAUUGUAAACUAAUAAUUGCAAAUAGACGUUACGAAAUUGCGUAUAUAUAUAUAUAUGCAAUUGCAUAUUGUAAAAUGAGAUUGCACAUAGAUGCUACGAGAUUGCAUACAGGCAUAUGCAUAUGGAUACUAUAAAUUGAGAAUUGCACACGUGCUAUCAAAUAUGCGAUAUAUGCCCACAAAAACCAUUAACAUGGUUAAAUUGUUGAUUUAGUCCUUGAACUUGUAUCCAAUUUUCAAUUUAUCGCAUGACCUUUUUUUUCAUAAUAUUACGGAUAUGAACUUUCUUUAUCACCAAUGUCUCCCCUGCCGUUAAAUUCCCUAACAUUUCGUCCAAUCUGUCAUUAAAUAUGAGGGCACAUUGAUCAUUUCAUACGUUAAACAUAAUUGAAUUAUGUAAAAUUAAAUAAUAUGAAAGGAUAUUAAAUAUAUGCCUUAAAGCCAAACAUGUGAUAUUGCGUUCUUUUUUGGAUAUUUCACCAUCAUUUAUGGGCAAAAUCAUUGUUUGCAUCUAUGUUAUUUAGUCUACAAUCAUAAUAGCACAACAAUCCUUGGAAUAUGAUUCGUAUGUGGGCUAAGCAAUGAGAUUGGAUAUAAGAAGACUUCUCAUAUUUCCACUUCACUUCGUGGUCAUAUAUUAUCAAUUGGGCAUUGAUCAUAAUCGAAAAGGUCCAAUUUUCUUUUUCGUCAAUUCAAUGUGACUCAAUCAAUCGACCAUUAAGUAAUAAUUUUUGUUGAAAGCUUUUAAAUUUAUAUUUGUACCAACAAUCAUAUGUUUGAUUUUAUUGAAUUUUUUUUUAAUUAACAAUAUAGGAAUAAUUGGAGAUAAUCAACAAAGUUCAAUUUUAUUCUCAAUACUUCAUUGGGUUAAAUUAGUAGUAAAUCAUGAAAGUUAUAUUCAGUAAUUUAUGCCCAACAAACCUACCUAAAGAACGCUAAGCGACUCGUUCGUCGGGUAAAUAAUGUUGUUCGUUGACCAAAUUACCCAACGAACUCCUUGAUUUACUCAAUAAAAAAGGUAUUUUACUUCGAAGACGCAAGGGGAGCGCUCGGUGAGUAAAGCUAGUCGUUCCCUGAGAAAUUGGACUAACUAAAAUAUUUUAUCAAACAAACGGAGUGUUUGUUCUAGUGAACGCAAGGGUUGCGUUCGUUCAGUAAAGUUAUCUGUUCCCCGUAAAAUUGGCCAAACCAACUUACUUUUUCAAACAAAUGGGGAGUUUGUUCAAACGAACGUAAGGGUUUGCUUUCGUUCAAAAAUACUCGACGUUCUGCCGAAAAAGAAGGCCAACAUAGCUAAUUUUUUAAACCAACAGGGUAUUUGUUCAAACGAACGCAAUACGUGCGUUCCUUAAAAAAAGUUACCCGUUCGCCGAAAACAUGCCCCAACCACCUUACGUUUUCAAACAAACGGGGUAUUUUUUCACACCAACGCAACAUGUGCGUUCGUUGAGGAAAGUUUUUUGUUCGCCGAAAAAAUAUAUCCAACCAACUUACUUUUUCAAACAAACGGGCUAUUUGUUCACGUAAACGCAUGGGUUGCGUUCAUUGAGUAAAGUUGCUCGUUCUUCUAAAAAAUGGGCCAAACUAACUUACUUUUUCAAACAAACGGGCUAUUUGUUCACGUAAACGCAUCGGUUGCGUUCGUUGAGUAAAGUUACCCGUUCCCCAAAAAAAUGGGCCAAACUAACUUACUUUUUUAAACAAACGGGCUAUUUGUUCAUGCGAACGCAGGGGUUGUGUUCGUUGAGUAAAGUUAUCCGUUCCCUUGAAAAAUGGGCCCAACUAACUUACUUUUUCAAACAAACAGGCUAUUUGUUCAUACGAACGCAGGGGUUGCGUUCAUUGAGUAAAGUUGCCCGUUCCCCAGAAAAAUGGGCCAAACUAACUUACUUUUUCAAACAAACGGGCUAUUUGUUCACAUAAACGCAGGGCUUGCGUUCGUUGAGUAAAGUUGCUCGUUCCCCGAAAAAAUGGGCCCAACUAACUUACUUUUUCAAACAAACGGGCUAUUUGUUCAUGCGAACGCAAUGGGUUGCGUUCGUUGAGUAAAGUUGUCCGUUCUUCCGAAAAAUGGGCCCAACUAACUUACUUUUUCAAGAAAACAGGCUAUUUGUUCACGCGAAUGCAGGGGUUGUGUUCGUUGAGUAAAGUUCCCCGUUCCCUGAAAAAAUGGCCAAACUAACUUACUUUUUCAAACAAACGGGCUAUUUGUUCAUGUAAACGCAAGGAUUGCGUUCGUUGAGUAAAGUUGCUCGUUCUUCUGAAAAAUUGGCUCAACUAACUUACUUUUUCAAACAAACAGGCUUUUUGUUCACGCGAACGCGAUGGGUUGCGUUCGUGGAGUAAAGUUGCCCGUUUCUUGAAAAAAUGGGCCCAACUAACUUACUUUUUCAAACAAACGGGCGAUUUGUUUACGCGAACGCUGGGGUUGCAUUCAUUGAGUAAAGUUGCCCGUUCCUCGGAAAAAUGGGCCAAAUGAACGUACUUUUUCAAACAAACGGGAUAUUUAUUCAUGCAAACGCAAGAAGUGCGUUCGUUGGGUAAAGUUGCCCGUUCCCCGGAAAAAUGGACCCUACUAAAUUUCUUUUUUAAACAAACACACUAUUUUUUCACGCGAACGCAAAGGUUGCGUUUGUUGAGUACAUUGUGUUCAUUUGAUAAAGUUAAAUGUUGGUAUGUUCGGUAAGAAAAAAAAUAAUUCAUGAGAAAGAAGAAGACAUGAUUUUUUUUAUUUUUUAUGUUGUUUUUUUUUGUUUUGAGUUGAAGAAAUUAUUAUUAUUAUUUUAAAGAAAAAGCGUAUGGGUGUGAUAUAUAGUAUUGUUAAUUUAAUUGGAUCUUGCCCCUGAUAUUUUUCAGGUGCUUCUUUUUUAAAACUAUUUAAAAUGUGGUUCUUAAAAUUUUUCAUGUAAGCCUUGUACCAAGGGAUAUGCACUAGAAACCAACUCCACUAAAUAAAUUUUUGUGUCAAUUUGUUGCACGUUGGAGUAUAUAUACAGUUGUUAUAAUAAUAAUAUAAAUUAUGUAAAAUAAAAAUUUUUAGGGGGUCCUCAAAAAUCAGGGGCCCUGUGCAUUGGCGCCACUUGCACUAUUUCAGGGCCGCCCUUUUCUACUAGUUGGGUUAAUCUUAACUAUCUCAUAUAUGGGAAGAUAGUAGAGAGCUCAAGAGAGACCUAUGUGCACCAUGUUCAAACAUGGCUUACAAACUGCUCGGGUUACGUAACUUGGUAUGACUAUUGUAUGAAUCUAGAUGGUUGUUCCUCAUUGUUGGAACCUCAUUGGAGCUCUUCAUUUAUGUAGAUGGACACUUAUCUAAAUUGUAAUUCAAUGUUAAAACAAACUAUGGAUUUAUGCAUGGUUUAUUCAUUCUAAUCAACAUUUUAUUUUCAAACUUUUCAUUAACACACAUUACAUACCACUUAUAUUUCAUCAUAUGUAUAUCUUAUUAUUAGUAAAUUUUGAGUUUUAUUUGUUCAAUACAUUCAUUGAUAAUGUACAUAACAUUAAUGAAAGUUUUAUACCAAAAUUAUGUGUUUCAAUACCUAUAUCUGUCUUCUUCUUUUUUCCGAUACCUAAGACGAUAAUAAUAUAUCCCCCGAAAUAUCCGUAAAUUGGAGGCCCUAUAUUAUUUACAUGGUUGAUAUUUUAAUCCUUGGCCCACUCGAACCUUCCAAGGCAGAACCAUAUGUAGCCUUCUCUUUAAGGUUUAAUUUCCUCCAUUUAUUAGCAAUCUCUUCUUGUACCUGGAAAAAAAAAUCUCAUUAAAAGAGCCUUUUUAAUAAAAUAAUUAAUAAACUAACCCAAUCCAUUGCCAUCUCUCACCUUAUUGUCCAACUUUGCAUUUGCCACUUUCCCCAUUUUAUGUCUUUCUUUUUUUUCUUUUUUUUUUGUAAAUCAUUUAUUUUUAAUCAAAAAACCAUCAUAAUAUUAAGCAACUACAUUUCCGAUUUUUAGAUGUACGUGUAACUUACAUGAAAUUAAAAAAUGCAUCUCGGCCAACUCUUGAUUGUUGCACAUUACUGUCGACUUUGCUCUUUCCUUUUGUUGAUCCCCUUUUUUGAGCUUCCAUAACUUGCACAAAUCAAGUACAAAACACUAUCAUGCAAUUGUCUCUAGCGCCGAGAAUUUGAAUACUAAUCCAAAGCCUAAUACCCCCUAAACCCCGUAAACACCACAACAUCACAUUGCUUAAUUAAAAAAAUACGGCGACCUGGAUUUGCAUACAGUUGCUUAGUAAUUGCAUAUACUGAUAUGCAAUUGCUCGAUACUACUUGCAAGUGCAUCAGCCCUCGAUUAUUACAUUGCACAGAUAAUGCACACAACCCACCCAUGCAUUUCUCUAUUGGGUCAGGAUUCUUACUCAUUUCAAAUCCCAAUACAAAUCUUAACCAAUCCUCACAUUACACUUUCGGAACACUUUAAUCCCCAUAACAAAUUAUUCUAAAGCACAGUCAAACCUACCUACCUACCACGAAAUCACCUGAGUUGCAUAAUUUGAAACAAAAACUAUAUACUGUCAUUGCAUUCAAUGACUUGGAUUUGCAUACAGGCUAUUAGUAAUUGCAUAUAGAGAUAUGCAAUUGCAUAUUGAGCUAUGCAAUUGCAUAUUGAGCUAUGCAAUUCCACGAACAUUACAACUAUGAAUGUGAGAUACGUGCAUACUUUGGAAAAAAAAACUAUAUACUCUAAUUGCAUUCAAUGACUUGGAUUUGCAUACACGCUAUUAGUAAUUGCAUACAGAGAUAUGCAAUUGCAUGAACAUUACAACUAUCAAUGUCAGAUACCCACUUCACCUCACGCCACUUUCAGAAUCACAAACCCACCACAAUUAAAUCAUACACAAUCAGAGGCCUCAUGGGUAUUUAUAUAUACAAUCAGAUCAAGAGGCACUAUAACAACCCAGCAGAAAUGCAGAGUGGGAAAAGAAAUACAAAUUUUGAAUCAUUAAUUUCUGGAAUUGUUCAAUGAAAAAACUGAAACAACAAUUCAAAAUCACUAGAAGAAUAAAUUAAAUAGAACCAUCAAUUACACAUAACGAAAAUCAACACACGAACUUACCGAGAUGGAGGAAGCAGCUGGAGAAGACGAAGUGGGUUUCUGGGUUUUGGCUGAAAUCUGCUCCUCAGAUGGAGAAGACGAAGUGGGGGGAGCUUCUUCAGGCUGUAGGAAGCUGUGCAGCUAUGAAUUCACCGAAAUAGAGCUGGAGCUGUGGCUGUGCAAAGCUUUGGAGGAGGAGAUAGACGAAAUCGAUCUGUGUGCAGCCUAGGUUUUGAACGAGCGGGAGUUUUUAUUUUCCUUAGUUUAACUGGUUAACCAAAAGAACCAGUUUUCAUUGUUUUUAAAAAAAGGCCACGUGAUGGGCUGUACAGGUACACCCGGCGCACCACAGACAAACUCCAAUCUUCAAUCGUAAUUCCCAUGGAAGCGAUGAUCUUUUGUUCUCUUUACCAUGAACAUGCUCAAAAAGAGUGCCGUUGGUGAUGAACUCGUAAACUAGUAACGGCACUUCUGUCUCUAAACAACAACCUAACAGCCUCACCACAUUCCGUUACGUUGAGUCUUCUCUAUUAUGUUGGGGUAGGAAGCAAUUAAUAAUACUCAAUGCAGACUUGUUUAACCACCACCACAAACAUGAGGGUCACCAUCUACACCUUGUUAUGCUUGAAAGAAGUUGCGGUUUUAUUCUAAAAUUAAUUGGCAAGACAGGAGUAGUCCAACUUCUUAUAAACCAUUUUAUUUUUUGUUAAUUUUCUAAUGUGUGGGACAUUUUCACCUGCAUUCUCAAAAUGCUCAUGCAUUGCUGGACCUGUCAUUGAAACAAAUGGGACUUAAUUGAGGGGCACAUCAAAAAUAAAUUAAAGAUUACAAAAAAGAAACAAAAACCUAUGUCCACAAGCUUAUAAGUUUAUUUGUUGCACCCUAAAAAAAAGCUUACAAGUUUAUUUGGGAUGUGACUGCGCUUGUUUAUCCCUUAAUGCUCUCAUUAACUAAAAAAGAAUAAUGAUUGUAUAUCAGUCCUGAUCUCUUGGACUACAGUGGUCCAAGAGAUUUGUGGUCACUCACCGUUGGAUGUAAAUUCAACGGUUCACUCACUCUUGCACUCCUUUUAAAAAACUUUUUUCAACCAUUGGAUUAAUAUCCAACGGUGGAUGACCACAAUCUCUUGGACUUCUGUGGUCCAAGAGAUUAGGACUGUAUAUAUAUAUAUAAUGAGUGUUGCUAAACGAAUCCUAAAAUUAAGUGAGUACAAAGAUGGAAAUUUAUUUAUUUAAUAAAAGAAAAUAUGCUCCUUCAAUAAAUUGAUAUAAAAUAAUUUAGUAAAGUUGUACUUGAACAAUUACUCUUCAUUUAAUAAAUUAAGUUGACCCCUGCGAUGAACAUGUUCAUGUUCAUGUUCAUAUUCAUAUCACAUCACUUAAAAAGUAAAGGGUCAGAUUGAAUUUUCUACUCAUUCUUUGUCGGGAUAUUAUGUUGUUAAUCUAUCUAAAUUAUUCCACCUAUAUAAUAAUUUAUAAAAAAUUCUAAAAUAUAUAAACUUGUCAAUCAAUAGGUGCUAUAAUUUGAGUGCAGCUAUAACACCCCAUUGCAUAUCACAUAGUAUUACCGUGGCACACAAUAACGUGCUCAUGCUUUAAAUUGAUUAAUUGUCAAAUUCCAAUUAAAUGUCAAUUAUGUUCUUAGAAAAAGAAAGAAUGUGUAUCGUUGGGAUUUUCUAAUUGAUUGAGGAAAUUUGAAGCAAUUAUAAGUCUGUCAAUUUUUAUUUAUUUAAUUUAAUGUUUUAUUUUAUAUUUUUAAGAAUAAGUUAUCUAUUAGGAUAUUAUUUUCCUAAUGUGAUUUUAGCUAUAAUAUUUAUUAUUUUCUUGUUAGCUAAGUUUAGGAAUAUUCUAGAACCUAAGGUUUCCUAUGAUAUUAGGGUUUCUUUGUUUUCUAUUUAAGUCAACUCAUGUUGUUAUAUUUGUCAGUUUAAGUAUCUUAUUUUCAAUCAACCUGAUCUCUUGGACUACAGGGGUCCAAGAAAUUUAUGGUCACUCACCGUUGGAUGUAAAUUCAACGGUUCACUCACUCUUGCACUCAUUUUAAAAAACUUUUUUCAACCAUUGGAUUAAUAUCCAACGAUGGGUGACCACAAUCUCUUGGACUCCUGUGGUUCAAGAGAUCAGGACUGAUAUUUGAGGUUUACUCAAUUUUUAAAGUGAAUUUCAGUUUAUUUGUGAAUUCCAACAUUAUUACUUAUAGGAUUAUCGUUUGAUAUCUUUAUCCCUUAUAUCUAGUUGCAUCACUAUUACAAUGAAUCAACCGAGAGGAGGGGACUUUGAACUUGAGUCUACAGUGAGACUUGAGAGGUGGUCUCAAUUAUAUGUCGUAUUGUUGGAGACCUCAGUCCACGGUAAUUAAGAUACAUGCAUGUAUUGAAGAUAAAAGUACAUCUGUCCUACAUGGUAAUUAAUAGUCGAUGCGCGUGCAAAGUCAAGCAAUGAGACAAAAUCAAUAUGUACUUGUUUAACUAACAGCACAUACCAUUUAUGUCUACAACCUUCAUUUUGUCAUGCUCAUCAGCACCCGAACCUAACUCAUCCUUCUCCUAACCAGUUACAUACUCGACGACUCAGGUUCACACCAAAUUUUUAGUAGCUCGUGUUAGAACAUAAUUUUACUUUUCUUUCUAAUAUUCUUACUUAAUCUUGGUUCAUUCAAAGGUUGUGUUUAACUGGGCAUAUGCCUAGCCCUUCUGUUGUUAGGGCCCUGCCAUGCUUUUUAUUCUUCGGUUCCAUUUUGCAAUAGGGUAAAGUUGGUUGCCUUGCAUAUGGUUUUGACAAUUAUUACUACUCACAAGAAUAAACGCUCGUGUUCUUGGAGCUAUAAGUAACAAAGAAAAUAAUCAAACACCACACAUAUAGUCGUUCCAGCAAUACAUCUAUGUACAUUACUUCUAUUCUAACCUUGUGGUUCAUAUAGUUUCUACCGCAUCAAGUUUUAACUAUCUCCCAUCAUUAUAUGACAUUAACAUUUGGAUUUGCAUGCUGUCAUGCCCAUUAGUACUAGAACUGCAAUCGCCUCUAACAUCCACAGCAUACGUGUUUGAAGGUGACCAGAGCAAGUGCACAUUCUCUUCAGGACAGAAAUUAGAACUUUCCCAUGUAUGCUUUGCCAUUAUUCUCAUCCCCUCUAGCUCUGAGGCUACCUCUUUCAUGGUAGGUCUUUCCUCCCCUUUUAACCUGACACAUCUUUUCGCAAGGUUCGCUACAUUUUUUGGGGUCUCAAUAUUUCCUUCACUGAAUAGGGUAUCGUCCCAAAUUCUGUUCAAGCCAUCUUCCUCCAUUGAACAAACAAAUAAGCUUGCUAGGUUUCUCUCUGACUCAGGCCUGGCAAAAGAAAGCGCUACUUUGCUUGUUAGUAGCUCCAUCAGGACAACUCCAAAACUAUAGACAUCACUCUUUUGUGUUACUUGGUUUGAAUGGAAGUAUUCAGGAUCUAAGUAUCCAAGUGUCCCUUG